Auricularia subglabra TFB-10046 SS5 is the source of this 81-nucleotide non-coding RNA. The record is from Rfam. NCBI's taxonomy places the organism in Eukaryota, Fungi, Basidiomycota, Agaricomycetes, Auriculariales, Auriculariaceae.
GUUCCCAUAGAUUAGUGGUUAGAUCGGAACGUUGUGGUUCACACAUCCGUUCAAACGCGUGUUCGAAUCACGCUGGGAACA